RNAcentral lists this ribosomal RNA (292 nucleotides) under uncultured fungus. Its description in RNAcentral is "partial 18S ribosomal RNA". It matches the Rfam family "Eukaryotic small subunit ribosomal RNA", at positions 1408 to 1700 of the family's 1831-position model. Lineage: Eukaryota; Fungi. The record is from RNAcentral.
UUCUUAGAGAGACUAUCAACUCAAGUUGAUGGAAGUUUGAGGCAAUAACAGGUCUGUGAUGCCCUUAGAUGUUCUGGGCCGCACGCGCGCUACACUGACAGAGCCAACGAGUUCUUUUCCUUGUUCGAAAGAAUUGGGUAAUCUUGUUAAACUCUGUCGUGCUGGGGAUAAAGCAUUGCAAUUAUUGCUUUUCAACGAGGAAUGCCUAGUAAGCGCGUGUCAUCAGCAUGCGUUGAUUACGUCCCUGACCUUUGUACACACCGCCCGUCGCUACUACCGAUUGAAUGGCUAA